GAUGAAGAACGUAGCGAAAUGCGAUAAGUAAUGUGAAUUGCAGAAUUCAGUGAAUCAUCGAAUCUUUGAACGCACCUUGCGCCCUUUGGCUAUUCCGAAGGGCAUGCCUGUUUGAGUAUCGUGAACACCUCAACUCUCAUGGUCUGCCAUGAUGAGCUUGGACUUUGGGGGUCUUGCCGGCCUAGCGUCGGCUCCUCUCAAAUGGAUCAGCUUGCCAGUGUUUGGUGGCAUCACAGGUGUGAUAACUAUCUACGCUUGUGGUUUUCUACCAUGUAACCUUCAGCGAUGGAGGUUUGCUGGGGCUCACAGACGUCUCUCCUUGGAGGACAGCUUUUUGAACGUUUGAUCUCAAAUCAGGUAGGACUACCCGCUGAACUUAAGCAUAUCAGUAAGCGGAGGA
This 400-nucleotide unclassified non-coding RNA is filed under the name soil metagenome. RNAcentral describes it as "partial contains 5.8S ribosomal RNA, internal transcribed spacer 2, and large subunit ribosomal RNA". The stretch from base 1 to 121 matches the Rfam family "5.8S ribosomal RNA", at positions 35 to 154 of the family's 154-position model. The record is from RNAcentral.